AUGAUGUCAUUCUGCCCUGGGAUGAUGUCAUUCUGCCCUGGGAUGUGCAAGGAGAUGCUUCCGUUUGAAGAGGCGACUGUUUGACCAGGUCAUGCUCGUCAGAUGUGUGGAAGAGGAGAAAUGAAUCAUUGUGAAGGAGAUGACUCAGCAUUAUCAGUAUCUAAGAAGAGUAUUCGACAAACUGGACAACCACCUUCACAAAACUGAAGAGAACAUCAAGAACCACACUUCAUCUACAGGUAUGACAGAAGAAGGACACGGGGGACUGCGCUGCUGUCUUCUGCAGAAGCGACACCUUCUUCUGGAGAAACUGAGCUCUGUUGCUAGCACCUACGCUUGUUUUGAUGUGGACUCAUCUUUAUUCGUGUUGGAGGAAGAAAAAGAUGAUGAUGAAGAGGAAAGGCAACAGGAUGACAGCAGUUCAGAUCUUUUGGAGGAAGACAUAUAGACUGGCUGUGUGCAUGUGCUUAAUGUGUUACACAGUCACACAUUGCAAGCUACCAUGAAGCAAAAUUUAAACUCUGGUGGAAGAAUAUUUAGACCACUUUUUAUU
Melanotaenia boesemani (Boeseman's rainbowfish) is the source of this 553-nucleotide long non-coding RNA. RefSeq lists it as uncharacterized. The transcript has 3 exons. Lineage: Eukaryota; Metazoa; Chordata; Actinopteri; Atheriniformes; Melanotaeniidae. The record is from RefSeq and is a predicted model, not a curated record.